This 450-nucleotide ribosomal RNA is filed under the name uncultured bacterium. Its description in RNAcentral is "partial 16S ribosomal RNA". It matches the Rfam family "Bacterial small subunit ribosomal RNA", at positions 354 to 796 of the family's 1533-position model. The record is from RNAcentral.
GUGGGGAAUAUUGGACAAUGGGCGCAAGCCUGAUCCAGCCAUACCGCGUGGGUGAAGAAGGCCUUCGGGUUGUAAAGCCCUUUUGUUGGGAAAGAAAUCCUAUCGAUUAAUACUCGGUGGGGAUGACGGUACCCAAAGAAUAAGCACCGGCUAACUUCGUGCCAGCAGCCGCGGUAAUACGAAGGGUGCAAGCGUUACUCGGAAUUACUGGGCGUAAAGCGUGCGUAGGUGGUUGUUUAAGUCUGCUGUGAAAGCCCUGGACUCAACCUGGGAAUUGCAGUGGAGACUGGGCAACUAGAGUGUGGUAGAGGGAUGCGGAAUUUCUGGUGUAGCAGUGAAAUGCGUAGAGAUCAGAAGGAACAUCCGUGGCGAAGGCGGCAUCCUGGGCCAACACUGACACUGAGGCACGAAAGCGUGGGGAGCAAACAGGAUUAGAUACCCCUGUAGUCC